This is a long non-coding RNA of Mus caroli (Ryukyu mouse), 723 nucleotides long. RefSeq lists it as uncharacterized. NCBI's taxonomy places the organism in Eukaryota, Metazoa, Chordata, Mammalia, Rodentia, Muridae. The record is from RefSeq and is a predicted model, not a curated record.
UCCACGUCAGAAUUCCAAACCACCAGGCAACCUCGUGACAGAACGUAAAGAAGAGCGAGCACACACAGGAAUCUCAGCUCUGCCCACCAGUGUGGCACCAGGCAAUUCGCUUGCACCCUGCUAUGUUUUAGGCUGUGCGUCUCCAACAUGGCCACAUUGAUUUCCUGCCUCACUUACCCAUAUGGUCUUGUUGUGAGGACACAGAUGAAAACGAUCUGAUUCACUGUCAGAAGAUUCUCCUGACUGGACAUGAGCCGGGUAUAGUGCUUCAAGUGAAUAAUUCCAGCGCUCAGGAUGCUAAGGCAGGAGCUUGGGCUACAUAGUGAGUUCAAGGUGCUGUGUGCAGAAGAGGAUAUCUGUUACCUUGGAGCUGGAGGUAGAGUUGUAAGUCACCAUGUGAAUGCAGGCAAUGGAAUCCGGUUCCUCUGGAAGAACAGCAAGUGGCCUUAGCCACCAGGCCAUCUCUCCAACCUCUUGAAUUCUAGUAACAUUUAACACAAGUUUUUACACAGCCCAGGCGGCUGCCUUUGAACUCUCUGUGCAGCUGAAGAUGGUCUUCAGGUUCUGAUCCUCGGGAUUCCUCCUCUUGAAUGCUACAGGCACAAAGAAGGCACCAUACCCAUUGUUUGGCCUUUGUGCUUAUAAAUAUUCAUAUAGGUUGAAGAUGUAGUUGUGGUAGAAUGCUUGCCUAACAUGCUUGGAGCCCUAGGUUCCACCCACAGA